Molecule: transfer RNA, 63 nt
Filed under: Imatidium capense
Lineage: Eukaryota; Metazoa; Arthropoda; Insecta; Coleoptera; Chrysomelidae
Description: tRNA-Leu
Source: RNAcentral
GUUAUUUUGGCAGAUAAGUGUAAAGAUUUUAGAAAUCUUAAAUGUAAUAUUUUACAAAUAAUA